UCCCUGGUGGUCCAGUGGUUAGGAUACUGCACUUUCAUUGCUGAAGGCCUGGGUUCAAUCCCUGGUCCAGGUA
Bos taurus (domestic cattle) is the source of this 73-nucleotide non-coding RNA. The record is from Rfam. NCBI's taxonomy places the organism in Eukaryota, Metazoa, Chordata, Mammalia, Artiodactyla, Bovidae.